UAACGUUAGCUUGGUGGAUCAGUUGUAACUCAUUUUCAUUGAUAGUUGAAUAAUAAAAGCUUGUUUCUCCAUUUUUAUCUUCUUAUUUUUCUUUAGUUCUUUCAAUAAAUUUUAGUCUAUUACAAGUUGGUAUCAGAGCAUCUUCCUGGCACCAUGACAGUACCAAAAACUUGAGCAAAAGUUACAGAGGAUAGUGUCAAAAAAUUGAAAAGUCAAUUGCGCAAUUACAUGGCAGAGACCAACAAAAAAUUGGAGUCGAAUGACUCUAAAAUGUAUGAAUUAAAUCAUAAAUUUGAUUUGAUGAUGGAUAAAUUCUUCGCGAGCACGGAUGUAAUCUUAGGGAGUACUCCAACAAGUUCUCACACGAUUGAAGGGUCUGGUAGGAAGGAUGAUGGAGACCCAUGAAACUUCAACUGGCAGAUUCCAUUGAACAACUCUACCUCUAAUAUCGAUUGCCCUUAUUUUGAGGAUUGAGAUCCCAGAUCUUGGCUGCAGAAAUGUGAGAGGUAUUUUCAUUACAAUCACAUAACUUAUUCAUAACACAAAUUAAAAAAUGGCGUGCUACAUCUAAAUGGGAGGGCAGAAGCUUGGUAUUUCUCUUACCAACUGAGUAGAGGCACUGUUAAAUGGAAUGAUUUCAUAGAAGAAAUUUGUAAAAGAUUCAAUGAUGCUGAUAAUAACAACCUCAAUUUGUUGGGAAAAUUUUAAAAGGGUGGAACAAAAUGAAUGGGUAUUUAGAGAUAUUUAAGGACUUGAAGGCAUGGGUGUUGAUUAAACAUCCCACUAUACCUGAAGAAUUUUUCUUGGAGUUCUGCAUUGAAGGACUUAAGGAAGAGAUUAGACACACAGUCAAGAGCUUGAUCCUUAUCCCUAAGUCAUGCUGUGGAGAAGGUUAGAUACAAGGAGGAAUUAUUGGAGUCCAUGAGCAGGAAGAAUAGAGUUUAUGGAGGAAGACAAUCAACUCAAUUUAGUACCCUUUUGCUAGUACUACAAGAAAUAAACCCUCUAGGUUAUGUGCAGAAGGAGGGAAGUCAUCAUGCAUCAAUCUCAGGGACCAAACUGUUUGAGGCCAGAAAGACCAGGAGAGAGUGCUACAAGUGUGGUGAAAAGUAUUUCCCUGGGCAUGUUUGUAAGAGUAAACUACUGAAUGCCUUAUCUGGUACUACUGAUCAUGAAUAGUUGGAAAUAGGACCUAAUCAGGAGAAUGAAUUUUUCCCUGAUGAAAACUCAGAAAUAGUUAUUGAUGAGGCAAUCAACCUCAAUGAACUAUCAGUAACUAUGACCUCUACAACAAUCAAACUGAAAGGAGUAUAUGGGAAACACGUAUUAAUAGUUUUAGCAGACAUUGGCAUUACUCAUAGAUUCAUAGCUAGUAGUACUGCCAAACAACUGUGGUGUGCAAUCCAAGAGGAUGUGCCUAUGCGGGUGGCUGCUACUAAUGGAGGACACCGGAUGAGUUACCAAUCUUGCCCUCAGCUCAAAUGGAAGAUUCAAGGGAUUUAUUUUGAGCAUAAACUGAGAUUAUUGGAUAUAGGGGGUGUGAUAUAGUCCUUGGAGUACACUGGAUGAGGAAACACAAUCUAGUCUUGUUUAAUUUUAUUGGUUAUAGAUUGCAGGUGAGUGUGAAAGGAAAAGGGGUGGAUUUGAAAGGCUACUAUGAGGAAGGUAAGUUACAAAGUAUGACAACUACUGGUGUAAAACACAUCUGCUCAAGAAAGAGCAAGUAUUAUGGGCACAUCUGUUCACAAUCACCAUCAAAACCACAGAAGAACAUAAAGGCAUACCUGAUAUGAUCCAGGAUGUAAUUAAUGAGUUUUGGGGAGUGUUUGUUGAGCCAAAAUGCUUGCCACCAAGGAGGAAUCAUGACCAUCACAUUCCACUUAAACCUGAGGCAGCACCUGUCAGUAUCAGAUCAUACAGGUAUAAUUACAUUCAAAAAAAUGAGAUAGAGAAAUAAGUUAAUGAAAUGCUUAGCAAUAGUACUAUUCAACCCUAUCAUUCCCAUUCUCUUCCCUUGUGUUAUUAGUCAAGAAACAAGAUGGGAGUUGGAGGUUUUACAUUGACUAUAGAGAGCUAAAUAAGAUGGCAAUUAAAGAUAAGUUUUCAAUUCCCUUGGUGGAUGACCUGAUGGAUUAGCUAAAUGGUUCUUGCAUUUAUUGAAAAAUUAAUAUAAGAGCUGGUUAUCAUCAAAUAAGGAUGAAGGAGGGUGACAUCUUUAAAACUGCAUUUAGAACACAUCUAGGGUACUAUUAGUUUAGGGUCAUGCCUUUUGGCUUGACCAAUGCCCCUCCUACCUUUCAAAGUCUCAUGAACCAUGUGUUCAAGCCCUUCUUGAGGAAGUUUGUAUUGGUAUUCUUUGAUGACAUACUAGUCUAUAGCUCUUCUAUGGAGAAUCAUGUGUUACAUCUCAAGAAAGUUUAGAAGGUACAUCUUUAUGCAAAGCUGUCCAAAUGUACUUUUGGACAUGAUAGGAUGGAAUAUUUGGGGCAUAUCAUUUUAGGAAAAGGAGUUUUCACUGACCCUGCCAAAGUUGAAGAAAUGAUGAACUGGCAUGUACCCAAGUCUGUUAAGGCUCUAAGGGGGGUCCUUGGUUUGACUAGCUACUAUAGAAGGUUUGUUAAAUUCUUUGGAAUCAUCAGCAUGCUACUAACUAACUUGCUGAAGAAGAACUCCUUCCAAUGGACUGAUGAGGCAGAAGCUGCCUUUCAGCAGUUAAAGACAGCAAUGUCAACAGUACUAGUGAUAGGCUUGGUUGAUUUCAAAGUCCUUUGUGGUAGAAACUAAUGCAUAUGCUACCGGGACGGGGGCUGUACUAAUGCAAGGAGGAAGACCUAUAGAUUUUUUCAGCAAGGCCUUGGCACCAAAGCAUAGAGGCUUAUCUACUUAUGAGAAGUAAUAAGUAGAUAUUACUGUUGACAUGGAGACAUUACUUGCGAGGGGAACAUUUCAUUGUUUAGACAGAUCAUCAAAGCCUAAAGUAUCUACUAGAGUAGAAGGUAACUACAACCUUAUAACAGAAGGAACUGACAAAAUUGGUGGGACUGGACUAUGAGGUUCAGUACAAGAAAGGGAGUGAGAAUAAGGUGGCAGAUACACUUUCAAGAAGGCAGGACGAAGAUUCUACAUUAUUGGCUAUAUAUACUAUACAGGACACUUGACUGCAGGAAAUUAACAUCAGUUAUGAGGAUGAUCCAAUAGCCUUACAACUACUGGUGAGUUAACAGUUGCUCCUAGCAAUAAGGUUGAUUAUUCAUUGCAUCAGGGAGUCAUAAGGUAUAAGCAGAAGAUCUAUGUGGGAAGGGACACUGAUCUCAGGAAAAUAUUAUUGCAGACUACGCACUAUUCUACCAUUGGUGGACAUCAAGGCCAUCAGUGUAUCUAUAAAAUAUUACAACUUCUCUUCUAUUGUCCUAACAUUAAAGGAAUGUUUGUAAAUGAGUGGAUGAGUGUGAUGUCUUUCAAAAAGUGAAGACAGAGAAUAUUCACACCCCAGGAUUGCUUCAACCUCUCCCAAUUCUAGAUCAAGCCUGGCAAGACAUCUCCAUGGACUUUGUGGAGGGACUGCCCAAAGUUGGGAACAAAAAUGCCAUGCUAGAGGUAGUUGGCAAGCUCACUAAGUAUGAUCAUCUUUUGGCUCUCAAACACCCAUUUUCAAUGGCUGAUCUAUUUCUCAAUGAGAUCUACAUAUUACAUGGAUUGCCCAGAGACCAGAUCAAUAGUAUCAGAUAUGGAUCCUAUUUUCACUAGCCAUUUGUGGCAACACCUCUUCAAAACUAUAGGGACCAAACUGAAUAUGAGUAUAGCCUACCAUCCACAAUCAAAUAGGCGGACAGAAUAACUUAACAGGUGUAUAAAAACCUAUCUGUGAGCAAUGGUGUUUGAUAAUCCUAAGCUAUGGUCCAAAUGGCCCCAUUUGGCAGAGUGAUGGUAUUAUACAAAUUUUCAUAGUGCAUUACAGACAACUCCAUUUCAAGCCUUGUAUGGGUAUUCCCCACCCUAACUACCAACAUGAUCCUCGCCUAAUGUCGGUCAGUCACUAGCAGGGUUGAGUUUGGCUCAACUCCAGCACAUGCUACAAGCUCAAAAAGAAAAUCUAAGUAGAGCACAAGAUCACAUGUAAUUCUACGCAGACAGACUUCGGUCAAAAAGGAUAUUAGAAGUCGGGGAUAAAGUCUACCUAAAGUUACAACCCUACCUACAGUAUUCUAUUGAUGUGCGCAAAAAUGUGAAGCUUUGCACCAAGUACUAUGUACCUUAUAAGAUUGAAUAGAAAAUCGGGUCAGCAGCUUACUGAUUGGAGCUUCCACCUGGGUCGCAACUUCGUCCUGUUUUUCAUGUCUCAAGACUGAAACCCUGAGUUGGCCCAACCAUAGUUCUGGAGCGACAACCUCCCCCCUGUGAUGCAGAUGGUCGAGUUUUGAUUUAACUUGUAGCCAUUCUUCGGCGCAAAAUGGUCAAAAUCACUAAUGGUGUGGGAGUGAAAUUGUUGGUUCAGUGGGCUAAUCUGAAUGAAAAGGAACCUUCUUAGAAGGACUGGGGUUACAUCAAGAGUCGAUCCCUUGAGUUUAUUGCACAACAUCAACCUUGAGGACAAGGUCUUUCUCGAAAGGGAUGGGAUUGUUAUGUUCGGAGAUCUCUAGGUUACAAAUUAGGAAAAUUAGUUGAAUCAUCUAGACACUCACUUUAGUAUGAGUGCUUGGGCCUGAUAAAUUGGAUUGAUAGACGGGUUAUUACACCGAGUAGGUAGAGUGUAUUAAUAAGUUGGGCAUAAUUUCAAAGGCUCAGUUCUAGCAAAG
This 4796-nucleotide long non-coding RNA is filed under the name Nicotiana tabacum (common tobacco). RNAcentral describes it as "long non-coding RNA (NTAB_LNC013696)". The record is from RNAcentral. Lineage: Eukaryota; Viridiplantae; Streptophyta; Magnoliopsida; Solanales; Solanaceae.